RNAcentral lists this long non-coding RNA (2101 nucleotides) under Brassica napus (rape). Its description in RNAcentral is "long non-coding RNA (BNAP_LNC025776)". The record is from RNAcentral. Lineage: Eukaryota; Viridiplantae; Streptophyta; Magnoliopsida; Brassicales; Brassicaceae.
UUGAUAAAACCGUGGAACUCUGCGUUUUGGCUUCACCCAAUUAGGGCUUCAAUUGUUAUCCUCCUUCCAGAACUCAACCUCGCCGUCUCCCCUUUUCAUAAUCUGCAAAGCUAAUGAUUCCUCCUCUCAUCUCUUUAUCUUCCCUAUCGUUCAAUAUAUUUCUAUUGCUCAACGUAUUUCUUUUGAUUAGCCAAUAAUUGUUAUUCACAUUAAACCCAGUAACAAUGUGGACCUUUCUGUUUCCUUCACGACAAUCUAUAAAUAGAAGAGGGUUGAGAGAAUGAUGGAUCUUCAUCUCCACUCAACAAGCUCCGAUUCUGUCCCGGAAUCCACUGCUCUGUUUUGGCCGGCGAGACCACAAAACGAUCCGUGGAAGAUGUCCCUGACAUAUCAUGGGACUGUGAGAUAGAUUCAGUCAAGAACGCCACUUCUCUUCAUAGAUUGCUCUCCAGUUCAGCAGAAAAUAGCUAUUGACAGAGUCGACAUCGGAGAGAGAGGACUUGAAUAAGCUGAAAAAGUAAAGAAAAGAAACUCACCGGUGAUUAUGGCUGUUGUGGAACGAGGGUCACAGUUCUCCGUUACCUCAUCGGCUGGACAUAACAUAAAGAAAAAAUAAAUCCUCAAAUAUAACAUAAAUAUAAAAAAUCAACAACAAAUACUAAUAAUAGCAAUGACAUUGUCCUAAACAAAUACAAAAUAUAUAUUUAGUGACUAAGAUUACCUCAGAGUUAAAACUGUAUUUUCCAUUCGGAGGUAGAGACAUUGAUUUGGGCAAUGGAAUGUAUGAAUUGAAGACAGUUUCAGGUAACGUUUGCUACGGAUUUUUCUCAAUUGGUGAAGAUGGUUUUGAAACCAGGAGAAUGGCCAGCAUUUGAAAGCUAUCUGGAAGACAUCAAGCUUCUCAAAGGAAGUUUCCUCAACUCAGAUAUCGUCCAUGUACCUCGGACGGCAAACCUUCGGGCGGAUAGCUUAGCACGCAGUGCUAGGAAACAAUAGUCCUUUGCCGUUCACAUGGAUGCGGAGUUACCGAUUUGGUUUACAGAGUCAAUAUGAGUCUGUAAAUGCUUUGCUGUCAAAAAAAAUAAAAAUAAAAUAAAUAAAUAAAACUGUAUUUUCCACAGUAUUAGAUACUCUGAUAUAAAAAAAAAAGAACUCUGGUAAUUGAAAACUCAAUCUCAUUCUCUUAACAUAAUCACACUUACAACCAACUGAACAUAGAAGAAAAUUUGCACAAAAUUAUAUAUUUCAUAAAAAACGAUACAUUAGCGGGACCUGCCUAGUCAUAUAUAUAAUGCCACUCUUUUCUCUGCAUCCACGUAUGCGUUUUUUUAAUGCUUGUGGGGCCCGCGUUAUUUCUGGUUUUUCUGGUCGAAGAGUUUGGUCUGAUUUAUGUCUUCAGCGUUUGGUUUGAUAAAACCGUGGAACUCUGCGUUUUGGCUUCACCCAAUUAGGGCUUCAAUUGUUAUCCUCCUUCCAGAACUCAACCUCGCCGUCUCCCCUUUUCAUAAUCUGCAAAGCUAAUGAUUCCUCCUCUCAUCUCUUUAUCUUCCCUAUCGUUCAAUAUAUUUCUAUUGCUCAACGUAUUUCUUUUGAUUAGCCAAUAAUUGUUAUUCACAUUAAACCCAGUAACAAUGUGGACCUUUCUGUUUCCUUCACGACAAUCUAUAAAUAGAAGAGGGUUGAGAGAAUGAUGGAUCUUCAUCUCCACUCAACAAGCUCCGAUUCUGUCCCGGAAUCCACUGCUCUGUUUUGGCCGGCGAGACCACAAAACGAUCCGUGGAAGAUGUCCCUGACAUAUCAUGGGACUGUGAGAUAGAUUCAGUCAAGAACGCCACUUCUCUUCAUAGAUUGCUCUCCAGUUCAGCAGAAAAUAGCUAUUGACAGAGUCGACAUCGGAGAGAGAGGACUUGAAUAAGCUGAAAAAGUAAAGAAAAGAAACUCACCGGUGAUUAUGGCUGUUGUGGAACGAGGGUCACAGUUCUCCGUUACCUCAUCGGCUGGAAUCAAUUACCUUCGCAGUCGAUGACGAUUCUCACGGGGUAACCAUGUACAUGAAGCCGCUAACAAUUGGGCGACCAAGGUAGGAAACGCCGUAGCACAG